This 461-nucleotide ribosomal RNA is filed under the name uncultured bacterium. Its description in RNAcentral is "bacterial SSU rRNA". It matches the Rfam family "Bacterial small subunit ribosomal RNA", at positions 28 to 507 of the family's 1533-position model. The record is from RNAcentral.
GACGAACGCUGGCGGCGUGCUUAACACAUGCAAGUCGAACGAUGAAGCCGCUUCGGUGGUGGAUUAGUGGCGAACGGGUGAGUAACACGUGGGCAACCUGCCCUCAGCUUUGGGAUAACUCCGGGAAACCGGGGCUAAUACCGGAUACGACCAUUCCCCGCAUGGGGUGGUGGUGGAAAGUUUUUCGGCUGGGGGAUGGGCCCGCGGCCUAUCAGCUUGUUGGUGGGGUGAUGGCCUACCAAGGCGUCGACGGGUAGCCGGCCUGAGAGGGCGACCGGCCACACUGGGACUGAGACACGGCCCAGACUCCUACGGGAGGCAGCAGUGGGGAAUAUUGCGCAAUGGGCGAAAGCCUGACGCAGCGACGCCGCGUGAGGGAUGACGGCCUUCGGGUUGUAAACCUCUUUCAGCUCCGACGAAUUCAGACGGUAGGAGCAGAAGAAGCACCGGCCAACUACGUG